RNAcentral lists this long non-coding RNA (2890 nucleotides) under Mytilus galloprovincialis (Mediterranean mussel). Lineage: Eukaryota; Metazoa; Mollusca; Bivalvia; Mytilida; Mytilidae. The record is from RNAcentral.
CAAUUACAUAGGAAAGACCACUUUUGUGUCCAUAUAAAUUAAAAUAUCACAUUUAUUAUACAUCGACUAUAUAGUGGACACUUGCUGUGUAUAUUGGUAUUUUACUUCGUUCACAAUUAUGGUGUAAGCACUUUGGCAUAAGUCUUAUAAGUACUACUAAAUUUUCUUUCUUUAAAUCUUUUAGCCAGUUUGUUUAUAGGACAUUGUAAACUACUACCAUUUCCAUGCAUUAUUUUAUUUUCAAGCUAUUUUGCAUGUACUUCGAGGUGACUCGAUGUUUUCUAAGUGUGUGUAUAAGUCCUGUAUUUUGCAAUUUCGGUUGUUUUGAUACAUGCUUUUUCGGUCAGUAGCUUUAUCAAAAUUGAUUUUCAGACAACCAAUAUUACUUGCCCUAUUCAUACAUUGUUUCUGUACUUGCAGUUAUCCCUUUAUAUUAUUUGUACGCCCUUAUGUGGAUGAAGUCUUCUAAAAACCUGAAAACUUAAAUAUUGUGCAUUACAUAUUCUGAACACAGCUUAUCACAAAGUGGAAUGUGCGAUAUCAUCCAUAUGACGUUCAAAAACACAACUUGUAAAAAACAAGUAGUAAUGUAGGGUAAUUUAGUUUAAGAUACAUGUAUAUAUGUUUCAGGUCUAAAAUGUAUGGUAUUUGAGGAAAAACUGUAAAAAUAACAUAACAUCGACAACACAGAUGAUUUAUUUAAACUCAAGAAGAAUUCAUCAACAUAAUCAUUCGCCACUCUUUAGUUAACAUUAUGUAGUCAAAAGGGAGUUAUUUUACAAUUUUUCAUUUCUUGGGCCGAAUAAUGGUCCUUUUCGUCUCCUUUGUAUAUAUAGUUUAGGAUAAUGCUUAAAAGUCCGAGCAUUUGUAAAUCAACUUGUAUUGUUAGCUGGUCUAUUGAUCAUACAAUCCGGUUGAUAAGACUACGAACAAUAAGUCGGAACUUCACGUACUAGUAUAUAGAUUGAUUAAGUACGAUCAGGUUUACAAGUUAACACACUCUGUGAAUUAAGGCCAUCCGCAGAACAUCAUUUAAGACGUUUUAUUUUAUUUUCGAAAAAUAACAACCAUGUCAAAGAAGUACAGUAAUUUGUCACUGGACGUUAAAGUGUAUUGUUUAAAUAUUUAAUGCUGUCUACAUGUUGGACUUUGUUAACGUUCUCAUUUUUUUCGACCCAAUAUGAUUGCUAAAAGUACUGUAAAAUUUGUUUAGCAGAUAAGUAACAUACAUAUUUAUUUUUGUAUGAACUCUAAUGAUUGAAAGAAAUGAUUAAAUGAAGCUUGAAUUAUAUUCUCUGUUAAAUCAAAACUAACAUGGGCUCACAAAUACAUUAGGAUUGUUCCUUUGCAAAGUCAGGAACCCGACUGUUCAUUUUCUUUGAGUUGUGUUUACCCUCAGUGUAUUGCACUUUAGUCUUAAAUAGGUUAAUGGCUUAACAAAACUCUCUAUUAUGUUAAAUUACUAUUGGAUUUUAUAUGGCAUGAAUAAUUGUUUUUUUUUCCAAUUCACAAUAUACUUUAGUUGAAUAAAGACUCAGGUUUUUGUGAUAUAUUAUAUAUUUUUUUCUGUUAUAUUUAGUCUUCUUUCGUUAUAUAAAUUGGCACCAUGAUAGGAAGCUAGUCACUGUAAUAUAUUUAAUCAGUAAACCAUACAUAAUGAAAACGAUAAAUAAAUAAAUAGUAUCUUCUUGUCUAAUUUAGGUAGAUGUACAUUUGUAACAUAAUAUUUUGGUAUUGUAUUGUACAUAGUUGGUUGACUUUUAUAUAUGAAAAAACUGUAAUCACCAAUUGUAUAUUUGUCUUGUAAAUUGACUUUAAAAUUCGUUUUUCAUUUGAGACCUUGUUAAACUGAAGGACAAAUGUGCAUUUUAAUUUGUAUUUGACUUCUUGGCAUGGGUUUUAAGUUCCGGAUCAAACUACUAAUUGACAUACUAGCAAUGAACCAUUGACAAUAUACUUAAUUAAUUUGAUGAUUCCAUCACACCUUUCUUAAAUUGUUUACCAAGAACGCCCAAACCCAAACCAGUGAAUGAUGUAUGAAUACUGCAAAUACUCAAGGAGCUAUAUAGCCAAAAGAUUAUGCAAAUUCAACUAAAGUCAUCUAUACCUGAGGGGUUUGUAACCUUUCAGAAAUGUUAUGGUUACACAAAGAUUUUUACUUAUUAAGUAUUGGUUCACUGAUCAAUCGAAUGGUGUCAUGAAAAUCAUAUGUGGUUGUCUUUAUUUGUGAAAGCAUUUCAGAAAAAGAAACGAUGAAUAAAAAGACAGAACCCCUCCCUCUCCAAAACAAUUCCACAAGAGCUUAUGAUGAAUAGACUCGUUUGACAUGCGUUUCUUAUAUACACUGCUGAUGGAGUCAUCGAUGCCAAGAACAGGACAUUGAUAUUAACCUAACUAAAAAAUAAAAUCAAGCUUUAAAAGAGCAACAAACGCCUAAACCACGAAUAAUUUCUAUUUUGGAUUUGUUAAAUUUGACAGGCAUGUUUUAUCUGUAUAGUAUAAGAGGGUGUUUGUCGAACGAGUAAGUGUCAUUAAAAUUACAUAAAAAGCGAAAAUGCAAUUAAUUCAAAUUUUUGCAAAGUUAAAGAUUACAUCGCGUAUAAAGUAACAAGUUUGCAGAAGAUGUACAUAUGAUGUACAGAAAGAAUACUUUGAGAAAACAAUUCAACUGAAAAAUAUAUCAUUAUAUGUUUUAGAUUCUUGUAACUACACCGUACGCAACAUUUAACGAUACUUUGAUAUUUGGUUAUAUGUACGUUCAAAAUCAACAACAUGUUUUAUUAUAUCAAAAAAUAGCAAAGUUACAUGCAUACUAUAUAAAAUAUGAAAUAAUAUGUAAUGAUUUUUUAUGAUUUUUAAGUUACUAUAAACCUUAAAUCGGUAAAUUAAC